UUUUUUUUUUUUUUUUUUUUUUUUUUUUUGUCUUUUGUCUUUUUAGGGCCACAUCCGUGGCAUAUGGAGGUUCCCAGGCUAAGGGUCUAAUCAGAGCUGUAGCUGCCAGCUUACACCACAGCCACAGCAAUGCCAGAUUCUUAACCCACUGAGCAAGGCCAGGGAUCAAACCCACAAUCUCAUGGUUCCUAGUCGGAUUCGUUUCCGCUGUGCCACAACGGGAACUCUCAUUUUUUUCUUUUACACUUUGGUCAGUUUUUCCCCCUUAUAAGGUAACAUACAUUCUGUAAUUUCUGAGUGGACACUUAUAGAUGUGCUUGCACCCUUGGGUUCAGGUUAUGUUACUCUGUUGCAGAACUGCACUUGCACACACAUGCUGAUGUUGCAUGUUGCCUUCCCUUUGUUCUGGCAGGGCCCUUCCCCCUCCCCACUACACUGUUAGCAUAGGAUAGGACAGCAGUGCUCACCCCAGGAGUAGGUGUAUCAGUGAGCACAUACAGCCUGCCCAGCUCCCCAGCCUUCCUGCCCACGCCUGCGCCACCCAGGAUCUGCCAGCCAAGUGCAGGGUAGGCCUUACACUGGCCACUGGGCCUGCUCUUGAGUUUGGGCUGCUUAGUGGACCCCCACACCAUGGGCAGCGCACCCUUUUGCUUCUGGCCCCUUCACACCUGCUUGGUUCUGAGCUCUUUCAAACAACCAGCUGUUUCCCUGCAUCUCUUGUCUGCCUGCUCCCUGCCUGUGUCCCUGUCCUGGGCCUGCCCACUCUGUUAGAAACAGAGAGGGAAGGAGGCAGAGAUGGAAGCAAUGAGAUCUCAAGCAGGGUUACUGACCAACAGAGGGGGCCCCCCUAAGAGCACUGAGCAGAGAGCACUCAGAAUCCCUGCAGCUUAGGGAGCAGCUAUUUAUAUAGGAAUAGUUUCUAUUUUUAGCAUACCUCUCCAGGGAGUAAGAAACAGGGAAGGUACAAGUUAUGUUGUUACAAUUUAACAGUUUCUCCAGCUAUUUUUUGUCUUGCAACUUUGCCUUUCAUUGUGCUCAGUUACCACCUAACAUACUCCAGGGGCCCUGGGCAGGGAGGCCUGGGAGGUUGCAGGAGAGGGGCUUGGACCAUGGGAGAUUUCAGGAUGUAACUUGACCCUCAGGGCCCCUGCCUCCAGGUAUGCCAGCCCAGGGAUGGCCGAGGCAGCCCUCUUUGGCCCUCCUGGACCCAUCUGUCCCCCUCCAUGGCCCACCUAGCUCAUCCUGCUAGACCCAGAGUGAGGGCAGCCCAGCUCGCAAUCACUGGCCUAGGCUAUUCUGGGCCUCCUGCCUCCCUCCCACUGGCCCCUGGGGUCUGGUAGGACCCACUCUGCUGAGAGCUGUGUUCUGGCCAGGAAAUGAGAGUCCUACGCAAGCACUGUUGUUUCCAGAAGGCACAUGCUCCUGAGUUGAGGGGCCCUGGAGUAGAGGUGCCUUGGUUUGCUCCUCGUGUCACCCCGUACUUUGAGGGGCUCGCCAGGGUUGCUAUCUUCCCUGCCAGCCCAUCUGGUGACAGUGGCCUUUCUGGGACCUGUCCAUCUGCCAGGAUACAGAGGUUCGAGUCUUGGGACCACUGAUGACCCACAAGACACAGGCAGGCCCUGAGGCUGUCACAGGUAUGGCAGGCAGCCUAGACAGUGGCCUUCAGGCACACAAAGGAUUCUGGAGGCCAGGGCAAGGCCUGUCCAGCUGGCAUGGAUUCAUUCAGCCAGCCUCCACCAGACACUGCUGCAACUCAGUGGUUCUCAAAGCAUGCUCCUGGACUGCUAGAAAUGCAGAUUCUUGGGCCCCGCUCCAGACGUAUUGGGCCAGAACCCCUGGGUGUGGGCUAGGCCAUCUGUGUUUUAAGAGGACCCCCCUGUGCCUAGGUUUGCACCUCGGUUCUACUUGCUAAUGUAUAUCCUACUAAGGGCCCCUCAUAAACCCCUUGGGGCCAUGAGGCUCAUCUUCCUCUUAUUCUUUUUUUUUCUUUUUCUUUUUGUCUUUUUGCCUUUUCUUGAGUGGUUCCUGCGGCAUAUGGAGCGGCCCAAGAAAUAGCAAAAGACAAAAAAAAAAAAAAGAAAAGAAAAGAAAACUGUUGACCCACAUGGACUGGGUCCAUGAAACCAAAUCUGCAUGGACAACUUGUUGAUCCAUGUGGACCAGGUCCAAGAGACCAAUAACACAUGGACAACUGGUCGACUUCUGCAGACUGGGUGCUGGAGAAAAAGUGCACAUGGACAUCUGGUUGACCCAUGCCACGUGGGUCCAGGAGUCCAAGACCACGUGGAGGACUGGUUAACCCCAGUGGACUAUUUCUGGAAGACCAAGUCCACCUGGAUAACUGUUCAACCCACGCAGAUAACUUGUUGACACCAGCAGACCGGGUUUGAGAGACAAGUUCUGUUUAGACAGCUGGUCGAUCCCUGCUCUUCUGGUCCAGAAAACUAAGUGCAAAUGGACAACUUGUCAACCCAUGCAGACAGGGUCUGGGAGAUCAAGUGCAUGCGGAUAACUGGUGUACCCCUGCAGACUGGUAGCGUGAGACCAAGUACAUGUGGACAACUGGCCCACCCAAGCAGACCAGGACUGAAACCAUAACCACAAGGACAACUGGUCGACCUCCGUGGACUGGUUCCGAGAAACCUAUUCCACUCAGACAACUGUUUGACCUGUGCGGACUGGGUCUGGUAUACCAAGUCUGCGAGGACAGUUGGUCAACACCAGUAGACUGGGUCUGAGAGACCAAAACCAUGUGGACAAACUGGUCAACCUCCAUGAACUUGGUCCUGGGGAAAAAGUUCACAUGGACAGUUUUUGACUGUGCAGACUGGGUCUGGGAGACCAAGUCUGUGCAGCCAACUUGUCAGCCGCAGCAGAAUGGGUCCAGGAAGCCAAGUCAGUGCAGACAAUUGGUCAACCCGCACGGACCAGGUCUGGGAGAGCAAGUCCUCACAGACAACUGGUAGACCCCCACCACCUUGUCCAAUAGAAAAAGUCUGUGUGGAAAACUGUCAACCCAUGCACAAUGGGUCUGGGAGACCAAGUCUGACCAUACAACUGGUCCAAUCAUGAGGACCAAGUCCAGGAAACCAAGACCAUAUGCACAACUGGUCAAACUCUGCAGACAUGUUCCUAGGGAACAUGUCCACACAGAUAUAUGGUUGACCCACGUGGAGCCAGUGUGGGAGACCACAUCCAUAUGGACAACCGGUCAACUCCAGAGGACCAGGUCCAAGAGACCAAUUCCAUGUGAGCAACUUGUCAACCCCCAUGCACUGGGUCUGGGAGACCAAGUCCACAUGGACAACUGGUCGGCCUGCUUGGACCAGGUCUGUGAGGCCAAGUCCAACUGGACAACUGGUUGAACUGUGAGGCCUGGAUCUGAGAUACCAAGUCCAUGAGGACAACUGGUCAACACAAGCAGACUGAGUCCAAGAGACCAAAACCACGUGGACAAGGGGUCAACCCCAACAGAAGAGGUCUGGAAAACCAAGCAUGGUGGACAAUUGGUCAACUUGCACAGACCAGGUCCAGGAUACCAAAUUGGCAUGGACAACUGGUCAGCCCAAGCAGACUGGGUCUGGGAGAUCAAGUCCCUGUGGACAACUGGCCAACCUGCAUGCACUAGGUCCAGGAGACCAAGUCCUUGCAGACACUUGUUGAACCCGGUGGACCAGGUCCAGGUUAACAGAUCUGCGUGGACAACUGGUCCACCUGUGCACACCAGGUCUGGGAAACCAAGACCGCAUGGACAACUGGUCGACCCUGGCAGAAUGGUUCCAGGGAAAUCAAUGUGUGCAGAAAACUGGACAACCUUGGCAGAACUGGUCCAAGAAACCAAGUAUGCAUGAACAACUUGUUGACUCACCUGGACCAGGUCCAGGAUACCAUGAGGACAACUGGUCGACCUCCAUGGACAGGUUCAGGGAGACCCAUUCCGUGUCGACAAAUGGUUUACCCAUGCAGACCAGGUCUGGGAGACUGUAUCCGCAUGAACAACUGUUUGUCCCCAGUAGAGUAGGUCUGAAAGAUCAGUUCCACAUGGAGAACUGUCAACCCACAUGGACUGGGUCUAGGAGACCAAGAAUGCUCAGGCAAAUGGUUGACCCACACAGACCAGAUCUGGGAGAACAAGACCGUGCAGACAACUGUUCAACCCACUCAGAAUGGGCCUGGGAGACCAAAUUUCAGAGACAGCUCAUUGACCCCAGCAGACCAGGUCCAAAAUACCAAGUCUGCACAUACAACUGGUCUAUACAAGUGGAUCAUGUCCAGGAGACCAAGUCCACGUGGAUAAAUGUUCGACCCCCUUGGAUCAGGUCCCAGGAGAUGAAAUCCGUGUGGACAACAGAUCAAUCCCUGCAGAUAGGAUCCAGGAACAAAAAAAUGUGGAUACCAGGUCGACCCACACGGACCCGGUCGGGGAGACCAAAAACACACAGAGAUCUGGUCAAUCCCAGGAUACCAGGACCGGGAGACCAAGUCUGUGCAGACAACUGGUUGAACUUGGUGGAACAGGUCCAAUAGACUAAUUCUGUGUGGAAAACUGGUCAAUCUGUGUGAAACGGUUCUGGGAGACCAAGUCCCUGCAAACAUAUGGUCAACCCUGGUGGACCUGGCCAAGAGAGAAUUCCGCACCAUAAACUAGUCAACCUGCUUGGAAUGGGUCUAGGAGGCUAAGUUUGCAUGGUCAACAUGUUGACCAUGGAAGACCAGUUCUGGGAGACCAAGUCUGCAGAGACCACUCUUCGACCCUGGUGGAGCAGGUCCAAGAAACCAAUUCCACUCAGAGAAAUGAUCAACCCAGGCAGACCAUGUCCAGGAGACCAAGAAUGGGCUGAAAACUGGUUCACCCAUGCAGACUGGGUCUGGGAGAAC
RNAcentral lists this long non-coding RNA (4878 nucleotides) under Sus scrofa (pig). Its description in RNAcentral is "lncRNA (ENSSSCG00025053299.1)". The record is from RNAcentral. Lineage: Eukaryota; Metazoa; Chordata; Mammalia; Artiodactyla; Suidae.